This 703-nucleotide ribosomal RNA is filed under the name Delma labialis. Its description in RNAcentral is "partial 16S ribosomal RNA". The stretch from base 274 to 445 matches the Rfam family "Archaeal large subunit ribosomal RNA", at positions 1876 to 2091 of the family's 2987-position model. Lineage: Eukaryota; Metazoa; Chordata; Lepidosauria; Squamata; Pygopodidae. The record is from RNAcentral.
GCGUCAAAGCGUCAACCACCACAAAUCCAAAACACAAACAUAAAUCCCUGACAACUCACAGAGCAACUCUAUUUAAUAAUAGAAGAACUAAUGCUAAAACUAGUAAUAAGAAUUAAUUCUCCUUACACCCCCAUCCAUCAGAAAUAGAUAAACUACUGAAGAUUAACCAAGCUACAAAAAGUAAUCAACCAACCAACAAGCAAAAAUUAACACACUUUGUGACACCAACACAGGGGUGUACCAAGGACAGAUUAAAAGCCAAACAAGGAACUCGGCUAAUAGACUCCAACUGUUUACCAAAAACAUAGCCUUUAGCACCACAAGUAUUAAAGGUCUCGCCUGCCCAGUGACAACUUCAACGGCCGCGGUAUCCUAACCGUGCAAAGGUAGCGUAAUCAUUUGUCUCCUAAAUAGAGACUUGUAUGAACGGCUAACUGAGAGCCUAACUGUCUCCUAAGGCCAAUCAAUGAAACUGAUCUUCCAGUACAAAAGCUGGAAUAAAAACAUAAGACGAGAAGACCCUGUGGAGCUUAAAAUACACACUAUUUUUUCCCACUAUAAGCUACGGAAACAACAUCAUUAAUAUAGCCAUAUUUUUAGUUGGGGCGACUUUGGAAUAAAAGAAAACUUCCAUGAUAGGGACUACCCCCUAUUAAGGCCAACAAGCCAAAAUAACUUUUUUUGACCCAGACAUCUGAUCAAC